AUCAAAAAACAAAAAAACAUCUAUCCCCUCGCUCUCUCUAUCGAUUUCACUCACCAUCAUUUUGAUUUCGCAGACGUAAUGACUGAGACAAAUAUAAACAACAUAAGUUUUGAGCAUGAUAUAGGUGGUAUGGAUGCAGCAGAGAUAGCAGAUAGGGAACAUAUGGCGCAAAUAAGAGACAGUAUUGCAAAUAUGUUAUGGAAAAUCAAAAUACUUGAUAAUCAAUCUUUUAAUGUAUUGUACGUUUUAUGAUUGAAAUCUUGAAUUGAGAUGAGAAAUUUUGAAUGUUAAAAAUUUAAAAUUUUAUUUUUGAACUAUUUAGAUA
Molecule: long non-coding RNA, 325 nt
Organism: Camelina sativa (false flax)
Lineage: Eukaryota; Viridiplantae; Streptophyta; Magnoliopsida; Brassicales; Brassicaceae
Source: RefSeq, a predicted model, not a curated record